GGGAGUGGGUGCAUGGUCGCUGGCGGGAGGUUACCGCCAGAGGAAAGUCCGGACUCCGCAGGGCAAGGAGGUUCGUAACCCGAACUGGGGGCGACCCCGAGGAAAGUGCCACAGAAAACAAACCGCCGGGCAACCGGUAAGGGUGAAAAGGUGGGGUAAGAGCCCACCGCUUGCCUGGCAACAGGCAAGGCACGGCAAACCCCUCCUGGAGCAAAACCAAAUAGAGAAGCGUUUGAGGGCGGCCCGCCCGAAGCUUCCGGGUAGGUUGCAAGAGAUACCGGGCAACCGGUAUCCAUAGAGAAAUGAUCAUGGCCCUUGCAAGAGGGUACAGAAUCCGGCUUAUAGCCCACUCCCUUUU
Non-coding RNA from Deltaproteobacteria bacterium, 358 nucleotides. The record is from Rfam. NCBI's taxonomy places the organism in Bacteria, Pseudomonadati, Myxococcota, Myxococcia.